Molecule: long non-coding RNA, 651 nt
Filed under: Triticum aestivum (bread wheat)
Lineage: Eukaryota; Viridiplantae; Streptophyta; Magnoliopsida; Poales; Poaceae
Description: long non-coding RNA (TAES_LNC025714)
Source: RNAcentral
ACUUCAAUGUCUUCAUACAUUUUUAGGGGUCAUCUCUGGUAGGAAAACCGAAUCAAUGAGGGACUUCUACCUGUGUUAUCCUGCAAUUCUCACAAACACAUUAGUCCCUCAACCAGGUUUGUCAUCAAUACUCCAAAACCAACUAGGGGUGGCACUAGAUGCACUUACAGUAAGACUGUGUUGCUUUUGUUGAUGACAUUCCGGUAACCACCGAUGGAUGAGAACUUUGCCUAUUGGUCCACCUCGUUUCAACAAGCGGGAAAAUGGUUCUCUUCGUCCCUUGCCCUUGGUACCGACAUUAUUGCCGACAUAACCACAUGCUACCCUCUGACAUGCCUUGCUAUCAUAACCGUGCAAGAUGUCACCGCUCCUUCUACUUUUAACCCACAUGGUGGGCCCAUAACCCAUAGUUCCACAAGAUCGAAACCUGACUCUCCUGUACAGCCCUGUUUCUAAAGUUAUUCCUCACGCUUGGCUUCAUAUGAAAUAACGAGUCGCCUUCCUAGAGAUGACCUAUUCUGGUAUCAGACACUAUACUUAUUCCCAUUGCUUUGAACCCCUUUCAUGCCCUGUUUUAGGCAUCGAACGAUUGCAUGCCCGCUCGAAACUUCCCAUGAUACCUCCUUACUUUGCUCUCGAUAAUUCCUUAAG